Molecule: ribosomal RNA, 279 nt
Filed under: uncultured archaeon
Lineage: Archaea
Description: partial 16S rRNA
Rfam family: Archaeal small subunit ribosomal RNA
Source: RNAcentral
GAGACCCACGCCAACAGUUGCCAGCACGUUCUCCGGAAUGGUGGGGACACUGUUGGGACCGCCUCUGCUAAAGGGGAGGAAGGAAUGGGCAACGGUAGGUCAGCAUGCCCCGAAUUACCCGGGCUACACGCGGGCUACAAUGGACAGGACAAUGGGAAUCGACACCGAGAGGUGAAGGCAAUCCCCUAGACCUGCCCUUAGUUCGGAUUGUGGGCUGCAACUCGCCCACAUGAAGCUGGAAUCCGUAGUAAUCGCGGAUCAACAUUCCGCGGUGAAUAU